RNAcentral lists this long non-coding RNA (303 nucleotides) under Equus caballus (horse). Its description in RNAcentral is "lncRNA (ENSECAG00000049475.1)". Lineage: Eukaryota; Metazoa; Chordata; Mammalia; Perissodactyla; Equidae. The record is from RNAcentral.
GCAAUCCUUCUCCCCCACCACUCCAAGGCAUGGAUUUCUCAUACCUAAUUCUAAUUAUGGGUGCCAGACUGGGAGCAUCUGUUGAAAAUAUUGGAGCCUAAGGGUCAUCACUGGGAGGGAAAGCAUGGAAUAGAACACUGGAUCUCCAAGUGUGGUUCCCAGAUGAGCAACGUCAGCAUCACCCAGUGCACGAGAAGAUUCUUCAUAGUGUUCAGGCAACAUCUAUUCCUGUUCGGGUCCAGGAAGCAUUUCGUCAUGCUCUUUCUUGUCAAAUGUGUCAUUCCUGUCUAAUUUCAUAUCUCC